CACCCUCGUAGCUAAAAUGUCUAAAGC
Molecule: transfer RNA, 27 nt
Filed under: Melanosuchus niger (black caiman)
Lineage: Eukaryota; Metazoa; Chordata; Crocodylia; Alligatoridae
Description: partial tRNA-Thr
Source: RNAcentral